Nematostella vectensis (starlet sea anemone) is the source of this 1219-nucleotide long non-coding RNA. RefSeq lists it as uncharacterized. NCBI's taxonomy places the organism in Eukaryota, Metazoa, Cnidaria, Anthozoa, Actiniaria, Edwardsiidae. The transcript is spliced from 3 exons. The record is from RefSeq and is a predicted model, not a curated record.
UUCUUCUUUACAAUACUCUCAGCGUUUUGUGCUGUUUUAGCGAUUUGUUCUUGGUUGUUCUUUUGAUGUCUUUGAAGUCUUCAGUGUAUUGUUGACAGUCCUAUUUAAACAUAUUGUGAGCUUCUCUAUCAUCCAAUGUGUCGCCUUAUAGUACCUGCCGGAGAUAUGAUGACAGGUUAGAAUUCAUCCCUUUUAUGACGCUACAAACAGUAUUAGCAGCUAGCGAUAUAGAGGGUUAAACGUCCCAAAGGGUUUUCCUGAUGAAUUGAUUAAGAUCGAUGCGGAGCUAAAAAGACAACAUCUCUAUGACACGCCUACAUGUAGCUGCCCAUGCCUUUUAGGGUCCCUUUGUAGCGUGGCUAUUGUCUUAUUAUCUGGAAAAGUACUUCAAAUACAUUCUAGAUUUACUUAAUUAUCGCCACCCGAUCUAAACCGCCCGUAAGCCGUCAAGGCAAGGAUUAUGGAUUAUUACAACAUCAAAGUUUUCACCUCAAAAAAAAAAAUUUCAGAAUACAAAUGCGUCAAUGCUCUUAUCAUUGCUAACCAAUUUGAAUAUCCCCCGGGCAAACACUGGCUUCCAUUCCAUUAGCAGUGAUGAAAUUCUGUGCCUGAAUCCCGGUAAUCUUCGGUUUAAAAGUAAAUUCCAACUUCCAGGAUCUAGGAAGAUCUUAGUUACUGUACACAAGCCAUGCGUUACUUAAAAAUAGGAGACGGACUUUCAGACAAUGGGGCGCGCAAUUUGGCUUCGACCAUGGUGUUGGGAGAACUAAAGAAACAAUAAUUCUCGUGCGCAUAUAAAAAUUGGAUCAUCUUAUCGGUCGAACUGUAAAACAACAAACGGAUCAACAAAGAAUUCUCCGCAUCUCGUCUUGCUUGUUGCUGAGCGUAGUGAAUAAGUAAUCCGGGCUCUGCCGAGGAUACCUGAGAAAGUGUGCAGACUAAACAUGAAGACGAGUUCAUAAUUCAAACUAGAGUAUGCUGAGGAUUUAUAACUUGAAUUUUUGGUUAUCUGGAAUAGUAACUAAAGUUACUAUAGCAGGCCCGUACCCAGGGGUGUGCAAGGGUGGAGUUGCACCCCCCAUCACACAAUAGACGAGCCAUUUGUAGACAAAACUAUAUAGCAUAAGCGAAUUAGAUAAAGAAGGCUUUCUAGAUCACUCUGGUAUAUCAAAUCUACAACUCAAACAUUUUUGUAACCAAAUCGGGUAAUAAACAUCGC